Molecule: ribosomal RNA, 425 nt
Filed under: uncultured bacterium
Lineage: Bacteria
Description: partial 16S ribosomal RNA
Rfam family: Bacterial small subunit ribosomal RNA
Source: RNAcentral
GUGAGGAAUAUUGGGCAAUGGGGGAAACCCUGACCCAGCGACGCCGCGUGAGGGAAGAAGGUCUUCGGAUUGUAAACCUCUGUCUUCGGGGACGAUAAUGACGGUACCCGGGGAGGAAGCCACGGCUAACUACGUGCCAGCAGCCGCGGUAAAACGUAGGUGGCAAGCGUUGUCCGGAAUUACUGGGUGUAAAGGGAGCGCAGGUGGGGCUGUAAGUCGAAUGUGAAAUCUAUGGGCUCAACUCAUAAAUUGCGUUCGAUACUAUAGUUCUUGAGUGGAGUAGAGGCAGGCGGAAUUCCCGGUGUAGCGGUGGAAUGCGUAGAUAUCGGGAGGAACACCAGUGGCGAAGGCGGCCUGCUGGGCUUUAACUGACACUGAGGCUCGAAAGCGUGGGUAGCAAACAGGAUUAGAUACCCCUGUAGUCC